Long non-coding RNA from Armigeres subalbatus, 2269 nucleotides. RefSeq lists it as uncharacterized. The transcript is spliced from 3 exons. The record is from RefSeq and is a predicted model, not a curated record. NCBI's taxonomy places the organism in Eukaryota, Metazoa, Arthropoda, Insecta, Diptera, Culicidae.
UGCCGGAACAUCAGCACAGGAAGGAAUCUGUAUAGUUUGACUGCUAGGUAGCAGAUUUUGCUGCCGGAACACCGUCGUAUCCUACAUUUUACGGCGGAGAAACACCAGCAGCAACAAACGAAAUUCCUUACGUUCGAUGGACUGCUAUAUGGCGUCAACAGUGAUCACAACAUAUCCAGGCUCUACUCGCAAUCCGUCGUGCUAGUGCAAAAUCCUGCCGGAACACCAUCCCAACGAUAGUACACCAGCAGUACCACGGACUACAGAAGUAUUGUUCAUCGAAACGUAGAACAACGCCACUUUCGGACCCCGAAAGGGAACGAAUCCGAUGCUGUACAUAUACGUAUCACAAAAGGCCCUGAAUCAUCAUGGCUUAAGAACUGAAGAAGAAAUAGACGAUAUAGUACGUUCAAGACGAUGACGCUGAUGCUGAUUCUGUUGCCGCUCCCUCACGUCACCUAUCUUCAAGAGGAAAACACUUGAAGCUCAUGAAAGUGGUCAACCUGGAAGAUCCCAAAACUCGUGUAGUGUGUCCAAGUCGCAGCAGAGUCUCAGCCAAGUCGGCAGCAGCAGUUCCAGCUCUAGUUCCUGUCCCGAUAGCAUUUCCUCGCAGCUGCUGAAGACCACCAAACUGCUGGCCAAUUUGGACUGGUGCACGGAUGUGGUAGGAGGGUGGUGGCAGCGGGAGCAGUGUAAGCGGAAGCAGCACCAUCGUGAUCGGGGAUGGCAAUGGGAGUUCCGGCAGUGCCGUUCAGGAUAUCGGUAUUCGUGCCGGUAACAUUUAGUAAAACACCCACGCAGGUUAGCAAUAAAUCCACUGGGAAUAGCAGCAGUGCCGGCACCGCGACCAACAACUCCAGCAAACAUCAGCUGAUUGCAUCUUCUAGUCAAGCCUCUGGUGGGUUCCUGGGAAGCAGUGCUAAUGACGGCAGUUUGAACAUGAACGGUGGCGGCGGUCUCGGUGGCCACACCGUGGUGCUCUCGGAUCUGGACUCGAGUGACGAUGAUCAUCUGCGCUUCAGCAAAAAUGGAACCGAAAUAUUUGACUACGAUUGUGAUUACGAUAACGAAGAGGAGUUCAACUAUCUGGCCCGCGCUGCAGCUGCCGUAGCAGCUUCGACCGAGUUCCUCCUAUUGGAGACUUCGAUAUGGAUGGAAACGGCCUGCUAAAAAUCCGAAGGUCCAACAGUUUUACCACGACGGCGAGCAGUGCAUGCGGACUUCCGGUUGGCGAGCUGCAUCAGCAAAAGCAUAACAACGAAUAUUUAUCAGCGGAAAAUCUAACUAACCUGCAGCUUCUGCAGAAUAAACCGAAGAGUUUCUCCUAAACCAUGGACAGUCAAGGCUCGACGAUUUUAAGCAACAUCAGAUGAUGAAUGAAAUGAUUAAUGGGUGGCUAGCUGGGCCUGACACAAACUCCCCAAGUUUCUGAGGGCCAUUCCACCUAACUUUCCGGUGAACUAUUCUGCGAAAUUUUGUAUACAGUCCCUCGCUGGCACUCGGACGACGAUCAGCUGCCCCUGGGGAACAGAUGCUGUUGUGAGCCGCUUCUAACAUGGAGAACAGACGCUCGUUCAGAUUUGCACCUAAGAGAGGAGCAAACUCCCUUCCACGUUCUUUGCCACCGUACAACCAUAGUUCCCACCGGGGUUGGUUAUCCGAUGCUCCUUGAGAUUGCUCGUACCCCGACCAGCACCACGGGGAGGUACAGGUUGGGGUUUGCUGGGAAAGAGGCUGAGAACCGCGAGAUGGAGUCUAUUUUAUUCCUUCAGGUACGCGAAGUACCAAUGGUACAAUGGUUUUAAUUUAUAAUUGAAUUGUCAAUAUAAAGGAUUGGAAAUAAUUUGUAUAAAGAUGCCAUAUAUUUUUCAUAUUCGAAUAUCAAUGUUGUGCUGCACAGGAAGGCAUUGUACGGUGCCUCCAAAAAGCAGAGGUCCUUCGCGUUUCAGGGCACCUUACUUAUUCUUGGCAUUAAGAAUCAAUCCAUAGAACUUGGAGAACCUUUAUUAAGAUAUUAAGAUAAUCAGUUGAGCGUGAAAAUUACGGUACCUAGAAUAUUGCGAAAAAGAGGAUCCAAUAGUUGAGCGAGUGUCAGCCUUGAGCUUCUCGGUUGAUGCGAUCGACUCUCGGGACUUUUUGGGAUGUGAUUGGAUGUUUUGAUGGCCGUUUGGAUUUCUAGUACCGUAAAAUGGGGCGAAUAGAAACAAAACUCCCUAAACUUAACAAUACUUUCACAAAAUUGUAAGAAUAUACAAAAAUCUUCGGGAAA